AUAUCCCGAAGGCGGCGGUUGUGCUUGCUUGUCUUGCGCUCUCACUGUUCUGACGGAUGCUUUUAUUAGACCAAGCCGCUGAGGACUUGAGAAUUCGUUCUCCUGUCUGACUCGUGUAAUGGUGACUCUGGAUAACCAAUUCUGACAAGCGCACGUACUUCUCUUCUGAGCGAGACGGCGCUGCCACUUUCGAGUGUCUGCCUUAUCAGCUAUCAACCGUUCGUUAUGCGCGACCGAUGGCUUUGACGGGUAACGGGGAAUCAGGGUUCGAUUCCGGAGAGGCAGCCUGAGAGACGGCUACCACGUCCAAGGACGGCAGCAGGCACGCAAAUUACCCAAUCCCAGCAAAUGGGGGAGGUAGUGACGAAAUCUAACGAUGCGGGCGCCCUUUCUGGGGCCCCGCAAUCGGAAUGGGCACUUUCUAAACAACCUGUUGAGAACCUACUGAAGGGCAAGUCUGGUGCCAGCAGCCGCGGUAAUUCCAGCUUCAGCAGCAUCUAUUAAAGUUGCUGCGGUUAAAAGGCUCGCAGUUGAAUGUCUGUAUCGAGCGCAGGUCAGGUGGACGUUGGGGCGUGGAAGUACGGGCUGUUGGAUGUCCCGAGGGCCUCGUGCUCGAGGGCUCCUUCGGC
This 629-nucleotide ribosomal RNA is filed under the name Zenkevitchia sp. 391Gtgm. Its description in RNAcentral is "bacterial SSU rRNA". It matches the Rfam family "Eukaryotic small subunit ribosomal RNA", at positions 174 to 732 of the family's 1831-position model. The record is from RNAcentral. Lineage: Eukaryota; Metazoa; Arthropoda; Malacostraca; Amphipoda; Typhlogammaridae.